This 19-nucleotide non-coding RNA is filed under the name Arabidopsis thaliana (thale cress). Lineage: Eukaryota; Viridiplantae; Streptophyta; Magnoliopsida; Brassicales; Brassicaceae. RNAcentral also lists the same sequence under 2 other names. The record is from RNAcentral.
AUCUUGGUGGUAGUAGCAA